UUUACGGGAGGCAGCAGCAGGGAAUCUUCCACAAUGGACGAAAGUCUGAUGGAGCGACGCCGCGUGAGGGGUGAAGGCUUUAGGGUCGUAAACCUCUUUUCUCAGGGAAGAGCAAGGACGGUACCUGAGGAAUAAGUGACGGCUAACUACGUGCCAGCAGCCGCGGUAAU
This 170-nucleotide ribosomal RNA is filed under the name uncultured bacterium. RNAcentral's name for it is "partial 16S ribosomal RNA". It matches the Rfam family "Bacterial small subunit ribosomal RNA", at positions 338 to 524 of the family's 1533-position model. The record is from RNAcentral.